CAGCAGCCGCGGGAAUACGAAGGGGGCUAGCGUUGCUCGGAAUUACUGGGCGUAAAGGGAGCGUAGGCGGGUCGUUUAGUCAGAGGUGAAAUCCCGGGGCUCAACCUCGGAACUGCCUUUGAUGCUGGCGACCUUGAGUAUGGGAGAGGUAAGCGGAACUCCGAGUGUAGAGGUGAAAUUCGUAGAUAUUCGGAAGAACACCAGUGGCGAAGGCGGCUUACUGGCCCAUUACUGACGCUGAGGCUCGAAAGCGUGGGGAGCAAACAGGAUUAGAUACCCCCGUAGUCCCUGUCUCUUAUAC
This 301-nucleotide ribosomal RNA is filed under the name uncultured bacterium. Its description in RNAcentral is "partial 16S ribosomal RNA". It matches the Rfam family "Bacterial small subunit ribosomal RNA", at positions 509 to 807 of the family's 1533-position model. The record is from RNAcentral.